Long non-coding RNA from Labeo rohita (rohu), 171 nucleotides. RefSeq lists it as uncharacterized. NCBI's taxonomy places the organism in Eukaryota, Metazoa, Chordata, Actinopteri, Cypriniformes, Cyprinidae. The transcript has 3 exons. The record is from RefSeq and is a predicted model, not a curated record.
GGAAGUGUCACUACAAAUGGAGUCACAAAUGCUCUAGACAUUAGAAAUGUUUGUGAGCAGCAGGACGCAGCAGAAUAUUAUCAGAAGAUUCUGAGUAUGGUUGAAUCUGAACCAGCAAAGAUAUUCCAGGGAAAGAAGAAACACUCAACCACCUGUCUACAUAGUGACCAU